AUGCCUUAGUACGGCGAGUGAAGCGGCAAAAGCUCAAAUUUGAAAUCUGGUACCUUCGGUGCCCGAGUUGUAAUUUGGAGAGGGCAACUUUGGGGCCGUUCCUUGUCUAUGUUCCUUGGAACAGGACGUCAUAGAGGGUGAGAAUCCCGUGUGGCGAGGAGUGCGGUUCUUUGUAAAGUGCCUUCGAAGAGUCGAGUUGUUUGGGAAUGCAGCUCUAAGUGGGUGGUAAAUUCCAUCUAAAGCUAAAUAUUGGCGAGAGACCGAUAGCGAACAAGUACAGUGAUGGAAAGAUGAAAAGAACUUUGAAAAGAGAGUGAAAAAGUACGUGAAAUUGUUGAAAGGGAAGGGCAUUUGAUCAGACAUGGUGUUUUGUGCCCUCUGCUCCUUGUGGGUAGGGGAAUCUCGCAUUUCACUGGGCCAGCAUCAGUUUUGGUGGCAGGAUAAAUCCAUAGGAAUGUAGCUUGCCUCGGUAAGUAUUAUAGCCUGUGGGAAUACUGCCAGCUGGGACUGAGGACUGCGACGUAAGUCAAGGAUGCUGGCAUAAUGGUUAUAUGCCGCCCGUCUUGAAAC
Molecule: ribosomal RNA, 570 nt
Filed under: Saccharomyces cerevisiae (brewer's yeast)
Lineage: Eukaryota; Fungi; Ascomycota; Saccharomycetes; Saccharomycetales; Saccharomycetaceae
Description: partial large subunit ribosomal RNA
Rfam family: Eukaryotic large subunit ribosomal RNA
Source: RNAcentral